This 85-nucleotide transfer RNA is filed under the name Bacteroidia bacterium. RNAcentral describes it as "tRNA-Leu". It matches the Rfam family "tRNA". Rfam says of the family: Transfer RNA (tRNA) molecules are approximately 80 nucleotides in length. The record is from RNAcentral. Lineage: Bacteria; Pseudomonadati; Bacteroidota; Bacteroidia.
GGGCUGGUGGCGGAACUGGUAGACGCGACAGACUUAAAAUCUGUUGGCCGCAAGGCCGUGGGGGUUCGAGUCCCCCCCUGCCCAC